CCUACGGGAGGCAGCAGUGGGGAAUAUUGCACAAUGGGCGAAAGCCUGAUGCAGCAACGCCGCGUGAGGGAAGACGGUUUUCGGAUUGUAAACCUCUGUCUUUGGUGAAGAAGAAAGUGACGGUAGCCAAGGAGGAAGCCACGGCUAACUACGUGCCAGCAGCCGCGGUAAUACGUAGGUGGCAAGCGUUGUCCGGAAUUACUGGGUGUAAAGGGAGCGCAGGCGGGACUGCAAGUUGGAUGUGAAAUACCGCAGCUUAACUGCGGAGCUGCAUCCAAAACUGUAGUUCUUGAGUGGAGUAGAGGUAGGCGGAAUUCCGAGUGUAGCGGUGAAAUGCGUAGAUAUUCGGAGGAACACCAGUGGCGAAGGCGGCCUACUGGGCUCUUACUGACGCUGAGGCUCGAAAGUGUGGGGAGCAAACAGGAUUAGAUACCCUGGUAGUCCACACUGUAAACGAUGAUUGCUAGGUGUGGGGGGUCUGACCCCUUCCGUGCCGGAGUUAACGCAAUAAGCAAUCCACCUGGGGAGUACGGCCGCAAGG
RNAcentral lists this ribosomal RNA (541 nucleotides) under uncultured bacterium. RNAcentral describes it as "bacterial SSU rRNA". It matches the Rfam family "Bacterial small subunit ribosomal RNA", at positions 338 to 893 of the family's 1533-position model. The record is from RNAcentral.